This 247-nucleotide long non-coding RNA is filed under the name Elaeis guineensis (African oil palm). Its description in RNAcentral is "long non-coding RNA (EGUI_LNC079835)". The record is from RNAcentral. Lineage: Eukaryota; Viridiplantae; Streptophyta; Magnoliopsida; Arecales; Arecaceae.
AUUCCCUUUUUCUAUUCAAUGAAUUCUGCUGGGUAAGUUCCUUACUUCUUCAAUUUACAGUCAAAAAAGGAAAAAGUCCAGUGUCCAAAAGCCCCAAGAUGAUAAACUGGCUGAUAACCCAAUUGUCAAAUGUUUUCGAGGAGGUUCUGGGUCCAAGUCAUGAACCAUGCAGACACGAGGAUCCGAGGCAUGGUAAUUUAUUCCUACCACAAAUCAAAAGAAAAAUAGGUUUGCUAAUUUACUCUGC